UAAGUAGCACUUCGUUCUGAUGUCAGAUUAACUAAGACUUCUAAACUACAUAUGGUAAGCUACCAGAGCUUUGUGAAUAAUCUACUGCUAAUGUUGCAUGUUUAAUACAUUAAACCUUAACUUUAGAAACAAAAUAUCAAACAUAUUUUAUGGAAAUUACCCACAACACCAAUGAUUUAUAUUGUCCCACUUAGCUAGGAAACUAGGCAACAGAGAUAGUCAAUUACAAGUGACUAAAUAGGGUGCCAGCAGUCGCGGUUACACCUGACCUUGAAGUUAAUUCUUCCAAAAAGGAGGUAUUAUAUAUAUAGCUGAUCUCAAUUUUACCUGCAAAAGUGAAAUUUAAACUUAAACCAAAUAUACCCUAACAGAUCUUAUUAUACCCUCACACAAACCACACUCACAAAACAGGGAUUAGAUACCCCUCUAUUGCGUGGCUCUACACUAACAAACUCUAAAAACGAAAGUUCCAAACUUAAAGAACGUGGCGGUGUUCUACACCUUAUUAGGGGAUCCUGUGGCUUAAUUCGAUAAUCCACGACUAACCAAGCUUCAUUAGCCCACAGCUUAUGUAUGGCCGCAUUACGCCUGCACACCAAUGUUAUAACAGGAGACAAUUAGAACCAAAUAUUCUAAUAAUACAGGUGACAUAUAGCCCAUAUGGAGCAGUUCAUGGGAUACAAAUAAUCAUCAUUACCCGAAAGUAAUUUGUAAUUUUUACAAAAAGGAGGACUUAAAAGUAAGAUUUAAAACAAUAUUUUAAUCUGAAUAAGAUCUAGAACGCGCACAAAUCGCCCGUCACUCCCAGCCCUAAUUGGGAUAAGUCGUAACAUAGUAGGGGUAACGGAAGUUGCCCCUAAA
This 861-nucleotide ribosomal RNA is filed under the name Unio tumidus. Its description in RNAcentral is "12S ribosomal RNA". The record is from RNAcentral. Lineage: Eukaryota; Metazoa; Mollusca; Bivalvia; Unionida; Unionidae.